GCCGACGUAGCUCAAUUGGCAGAGCACCGGUUUUGUAAACCGGAGGUUUCCGGUUCGAGGCCGGACGUCGGCU
This 73-nucleotide transfer RNA is filed under the name Solirubrobacterales bacterium. Its description in RNAcentral is "tRNA-Thr". It matches the Rfam family "tRNA". Rfam says of the family: Transfer RNA (tRNA) molecules are approximately 80 nucleotides in length. RNAcentral also lists the same sequence under 1 other name. The record is from RNAcentral. Lineage: Bacteria; Bacillati; Actinomycetota; Thermoleophilia; Solirubrobacterales.